Molecule: ribosomal RNA, 502 nt
Filed under: uncultured bacterium
Lineage: Bacteria
Description: bacterial SSU rRNA
Rfam family: Bacterial small subunit ribosomal RNA
Source: RNAcentral
GAUUCUGGCUCAGGAUGAACGCUGGCGGCGUGCUUAACACAUGCAAGUCGAACGAAGCAAUUAUCACGAUCCCUUCGGGGUGACGAUUAUGACUGAGUGGCGGACGGGUGAGUAACGCGUGGGUAACCUACCUUGUACAGGGGGAUAACAGUUGGAAACGACUGCUAAUACCGCAUAAGCGCACAGCUUCGCAUGAAGCAGUGUGAAAAGUUUUUCGGUAUAAGAUGGACCCGCGUCUGAUUAGCUAGUUGGUGAGGUAACGGCCCACCAAGGCGACGAUCAGUAGCCGACCUGAGAGGGUGACCGGCCACAUUGGGACUGAGACACGGCCCAAACUCCUACGGGAGGCAGCAGUGGGGAAUAUUGCACAAUGGGCGAAAGCCUGAUGCAGCGAACCGCCGCGUGAGCGAAGAAGUAUUUCGGUAUGUAAAGCUCUAUCAGCAGGGAAGAUAAUGACGGUACCUGACUAAGAAGCACCGGCUAAAUACGUGCCAGCAGCAGC